Molecule: ribosomal RNA, 1143 nt
Filed under: Triticum aestivum (bread wheat)
Lineage: Eukaryota; Viridiplantae; Streptophyta; Magnoliopsida; Poales; Poaceae
Description: partial small subunit ribosomal RNA
Source: RNAcentral
AUGGUGACGGACGUACAAGUUUAUUGUCCCGUGGCAACGCACGGACACUCAACUAGUAUAUAUAGAAGGGGCUUGACCUACUCGCAACGCCGCCGCAUUUCUCCAACCCUCUCACCGCUUCCUCACCACCUCCGAAAGCUCAGCAGGCCAUGGCUGGAUAGACAAGCAUGUCCGCUGAUCGAGCAGCUUAAGCCCUCCAUGCCCUGCGCUCUUCGCGUUCCGAAGGCUCCAGAUCUGAAGUUAGGAAUUGGAGGCUCAGAGAAUUGCAUAUUACUGCUACAGGGUAUUCGAGGAUUAGUUGGUUCGAUGGGUCGCAAGUUUCUGAAUAUGGUCCUGCACGAGUAUGGCAGUAGAAUGUAUUCGCUGUGCCGCAUCAAGCUCUCCACCCAUCUCUUCUAUCCGACAGCAAAAGACGCAACAACAGCCCAUGAAGAUGCAAAUGCAAGGAAGAAGAAGCAUGGGGGAUGGCCAUCAACGAUCUCGAGCUGCAAGCGCCCGCCAAGUACUUUGGUCAACUUCUCGGUGCCACCCAGCACUGCUGCCGCCAGUAACAUGCGUUUCUUCUCCCUCCUGCCUGAGCAGGGAGAGUCCUCUGUCAUUCUUUCGUUCUGCAAACCGUAUGAUUCCAUCACCGUGUCCAUUAGGAACCGAUGCAGCAGCGGCAAUUUCUUGGACCACGAAGAUGAUCACGGCCUCUACGUCAUGAACAGCUUGGACGACAGCUUUGAGUUCUUCAAUUACUGCAAGGUUGGCUUAUCUACCUAUCCGUUACUGUACAAUAAGUGGUACUGGAGUCCUCUGCCGUCUCCACCGUCCCGCACCAGUCCUCUUGUUGCAGCGGCGGUGAUUGACAACUCCACCAUAUGCGCGUCAUCCAAGAACGGCACAUACACCUUUGAUAUUUCGAGGGAGGUGUGGAGCCACACUGGCAGCUGGGUGCUGCCCUUCCACCGCGCAGCAGAGUAUGUCCCUGAGCUUGGACUCUGGUUCGGCCUCCAGGCCCCUGGCACCUGGCAAAAUCGCUUAUGUGCAUUGACCUUUCAUCCUCUGCCAUGGCGGAAUCUGCUCCUUCACCCCUGCAUGAUUGGGAAUACCUCGAUCUCCUGCCUGAUGAGUUGCUGCCGGUGGGGCGUGCCUUGGUGA